RNAcentral lists this ribosomal RNA (1363 nucleotides) under uncultured bacterium. RNAcentral's name for it is "bacterial SSU rRNA". It matches the Rfam family "Bacterial small subunit ribosomal RNA", at positions 28 to 1381 of the family's 1533-position model. The record is from RNAcentral.
GAUGAACGCUAGCGAUAGGCUUAACACAUGCAAGUCGAGGGGCAGCGCGAGGUAGCAAUACUUUGGCGGCGACCGGCGCACGGGUGCGUAACACGUAUGUAACUUACCUCUUACAAUCGGAUAACACGGUGAAAGUCGUGCUAAUACGGUAUAGUUUCGCAAGCUCGCAUGGGUAUGCGAAUAAAGAUUUAUCGGUAAGAGAUAGACAUGCGGUCCAUUAGAUAGUUGGUGAGGUAACGGCUCACCAAGUCGACGAUGGAUAGGGGGACUGAGAGGUUGACCCCCCACACUGGUACUGAGACACGGACCAGACUCCUACGGGAGGCAGCAGUGAGGAAUAUUGGUCAAUGGGCGAGAGCCUGAACCAGCCAAGUCGCGUGAAGGAAGACGGUUCAUAAGGAUUGUAAACUUCUUUUGCAGAGGAGUAACGAUAGGCACGUGUGCCUGUGUGAACGUACUCUGCGAAUAAGUAUCGGCUAACUCCGUGCCAGCAGCCGCGGUAAUACGGAGGAUACGAGCGUUAUCCGGAUUUAUUGGGUUUAAAGGGUGCGCAGGUGGUCCUGCAAGUCAGCGGUGAAAAGCUGAGGCUCAACCUCAGCCUUGCCGUUGAAACUGCAAGACUUGAGAGUACAUGAUGUGGGCGGAAUGCGUAGUGUAGCGGUGAAAUGCAUAGAUAUUACGCAGAACUCCGAUUGCGAAGGCAGCUCACAAAGGUAUAUCUGACACUGAGGCACGAAAGCGUGGGGAGCAAACAGGAUUAGAUACCCUGGUAGUCCACGCCGUAAACGAUGAUUACUCGAAGUAUGCGAUAUGACAGUAUGCUUCCAAGCGAAAGUGAUAAGUAAUCCACCUGGGGAGUACGCCGGCAACGGUGAAACUCAAAGGAAUUGACGGGGGCCCGCACAAGCGGAGGAACAUGUGGUUUAAUUCGAUGAUACGCGAGGAACCUUACCCGGGAUUGAAAUGUAUGUGCACCUCUUGGGAAACCGAGAGGGUUCUCUUCGGAGACACAUAUGUAGGUGCUGCAUGGUUGUCGUCAGCUCGUGCCGUGAGGUGUCGGCUUAAGUGCCAUAACGAGCGCAACCCUUAUCGUCAGUUACUAACAGGUCAAGCUGAGGACUCUGGCGAGACUGCCGUCGUAAGGCGAGAGGAAGGUGGGGAUGACGUCAAAUCAGCACGGCCCUUACAUCCGGGGCGACACACGUGUUACAAUGGUAGGGACAGAGAGUAGCCACUCGGUGACGAGGAGCGGAUCUUGAAACCCUAUCUCAGUUCGGAUCGGAGUCUGCAACUCGACUCCGUGAAGCCGGAUUCGCUAGUAAUCGCGCAUCAGCCAUGGCGCGGUGAAUACGUUCCCGGGCCU